Molecule: long non-coding RNA, 916 nt
Organism: Zonotrichia leucophrys gambelii
Lineage: Eukaryota; Metazoa; Chordata; Aves; Passeriformes; Passerellidae
Exons: 3
Source: RefSeq, a predicted model, not a curated record
GGUUUUAGUUCUCAAAGUCAAGGGGUAUUCUUCCUGGAUCUAUCACCUGGAUUUCUUACCUAGAAGAAUAUGGAGAACUUACGCUACAGACUGCAGAGGCACUAAGUAGUGCCUAAAGGAACUUGCCUAUCAAUUGCCUAAAGGAUUCAACUCAAGGAUUGGAAGAAUUGAGAAGACUGCUAGGCACUGGAGCAUGGAGAGACCUUCAGCCUCUGUGGAUAUACCACAGAAUAAAAUUAUCAACUCUUUAAACUUUACUGACUGUACUGAGCAGAAUUCUGACUAGAAUCUCUUCCCCACAUAGAUAUCCCUUUUCAUGACACAUGGUAAGAUGAAUCUCACCUCCUGUUCUGUGUAGGUAUGUCUACAGACUAUUUUAGGACACCUAGAUGAAUUUCAGCUGUCUAAAGUUAUGUGAGACAAAGCCCACUCACAAGGCUUAGAAACUUCUCCCUAUAAGCUGCAAAACACACAGUGCUGCAGUUCUGUAAAAUUUGCCAAAGCAAUUACUUCAGCAUUAAAUGUGUGUGAAAUACUUGCACAGAGAUAGUUUUCAAGAUAUUCACAAGAUAUUCUUUCCAUAGGAAGAUUUGAAGACACAUCUUUUACCUCUUCAGUCAAUAAACCCCCCAAAAUAUAUUAGGUUUUUUUUUAAUUUAGCACUCUUCUGGUUACAAUUAUUUAACUUUGCAUGGCUUAAUUAAAAAGCAUCCAAUUCAGAGAAAGAUUGAUAAAGCCAGAUAGGAAAGAAAAUUAGAAAUUGGUAACAAGGAGUAUGAGUAGGAAGACAGGGAACUAUUCAAAAGAGAAAGGAAAAAAAACAGAAGCAGUGACAAGGAGAGACAUCCUGAAAGUUUCCUGUGAGGAUUAUGUAUUAUUUAUUCAGUGACAAAAUUAGAACAGCCUGCACAUUUGA